This 274-nucleotide ribosomal RNA is filed under the name uncultured bacterium. RNAcentral's name for it is "partial 16S ribosomal RNA". It matches the Rfam family "Bacterial small subunit ribosomal RNA", at positions 85 to 354 of the family's 1533-position model. The record is from RNAcentral.
CCGCCGGCGACCGGCGCACGGGUGAGUAACACGUAUGCAACCUGGCCGUGACAGAUGGAUAACCGGGAGAAAUCCCGCCUAAUACAACAUAAUGCCGGGAGGGGGACAUCCCCUGCCGGUCAAAGGGGGCGACCCCGGUCACGGAUGGGCAUGCGGCGCAUUAGGUAGUUGGUGGGGCAACGGCCCACCAAGCCGACGAUGCGUAGGGGUUCUGAGAGGAAGGUCCCCCACAUUGGAACUGAGACACGGUCCAAACUCCUACGGAAGGCAGCAG